Molecule: RNA transcript, 3283 nt
Organism: Tarenaya hassleriana
Lineage: Eukaryota; Viridiplantae; Streptophyta; Magnoliopsida; Brassicales; Cleomaceae
Gene name: flowering time control protein FPA-like
Exons: 6
Source: RefSeq, a predicted model, not a curated record
UUGAAAGUUUUCGUCUCUGUUCCUUUUUCCUUCUCAUCUUUCUCCGAAUCGGUUCUAGGGUUUUCGCUUUUAAUCGUUUAUUUCUCUGGAUCUUCACGUUCGAAGGAUUCUAGUGCAAUCGCACUAAAAUCUUCUCUCAAUUCGGUCUUCCAAUCUCGCAAUCUCAGGUAAUCGUUCUUCAGGGACUCGAAUUUGGAACACUAGGUUUAGCGAUUGUCGGAUACAGAAGUUCGACGAUGGCUCUGGUGUUGAAGCCAACCAGAUCGCGUGAACAGGACGAUUCGUCGUUCAAAUCGAACAAUCUCUGGGUCGGUAGCUUAUCCACCGAUACUACGGAGUCGGAUCUGGCCGAGUUGUUCGGGAGGUUCGGCGACGUCGACAGAAUCACGGCGUAUUCGUCUCGUUGCUUCGCUUUCAUCUACUUCAGGCGCGUAGAGGAGGCGGUAGCUGCGAAGGAGGCGCUUCAGGGCACCAGCUUGAACGGGAGCCAGAUUAAGAUCGAAUACGCUCGACCGGCAAAACCUUGUAAGAGUCUUUGGGUGGGUGGUAUCAGCUCUGCUGUCUCGAAAGAUGACCUGGAGAUGGAGUUCAGAAAAUUCGGAAAGAUUGAGGAUUUUAGGUUUCUUAGGGAGCGGAGGAUGGCUUUCGUCGAUUAUCAUGAGAUAGAAGAUGCUAUGCAGGCUGCAAAGAGCAUGAAUGGCAAGCGGAUAGGCGGUAGCUUUCUUCGUGUUGAUUUUCUCCGCUCACAGGCUCCAAGAAGAGAACAAUGGGCUGGCUCUUAUGACACCAGGGAUGGUCAUUUUUCAGGCAGGGAUGGCAAUCUGAGUGCUAAACAACCGUUUCCUCACUCUUUUGGAGAUGGCAAAGCAGACGGCCAACCAAGUAACAUUCUGUGGAUUGGUUACCCUCCUUCUGUUCAGAUAGAUGAACAAAUGCUACACAAUGCCAUGAUACUCUUUGGUGAGAUUGAGAGGAUUAAAAGUUUCCCGUCAAGGCAUUUUUCACUUGUAGAAUUUAGGAGUGCCGAGGAAGCUCGUCGUGCUAAGGAAGGAUUGCAAGGGAGAUUAUUUAAUGAUCCAAGAAUCACCAUUAUGUACUCAAACUGUGACCUGCCUCAUGGGCAAGAUAAUACCAGAUUUUAUUCUGGGGUCAAACGGUCAAGGCCAGAAAUGUUCAUGAAUGACCCUCCAUUCACAUCUUCGCCAACAGAUACUUAUGGUCCUGGUAAUGCCGUAAUGGGUUCUAGGGCACCACAUUCUAGUGGAAUUCCUGGGUCUAUGAGGCUAUUACGAGGUAGCAUGGAACGACAACAAGCUGAUACAGAAUAUAGCGAUGCGGAUGGUAGGGAGUCUACUUGGAGAAGACCGUCUCCCCGUGGUGAUGGAAUACUCCCAUCUCCUGCUCAAGGCAUGAGGCUAAAACCUGGCUCUUGGGAAGGAUAUGAUCCUGCUCAGUUGGAUAGAGAAACCAAGCGGACCAGGAGAGAUGGCUCGGUGGACGCAUAUCCUCCGGUGGGUAUGGAGGAUCGUGUAACGGGUUUAGACAGGUCUUAUGGGCUGGGUCCUGUUGUUGCAAGACCAGGUCGUGGCUUUCCCAAUGCUGAUCACAUUUGGAGAGGAACUAUUGCUAAAGGCGGAACUCCCAUUUGUCAUGCUCGUUGUGUACCCAUCGGAAAGGGGAUUGAGAUUGAACUCCCUGAGGUAGUCAAUUGUUCAGCAAGAACUGGGUUGGAUAUGCUCGCCAAACACUACGCCGAGGCAAUUGGAUUUGACACCGUUUUCUUCUUACCAGACAGUGAAGACGAUUUUGCCUCUUACACUGAGUUUCUGCAUUACCUUGGUUCAAAGAAUCGAGCUGGUGUUGCCAAAUUAGAUGAUGGAACCACUUUAUUCUUGGUGCCGCCAUCUGAUUUCUUGACAACGGUACUCAAAGUUUCAGGUCCUGAACGGCUCUAUGGUAUAGUUCUCAAGUUGCCUCCUCCCCCUAUUCCCGCUGCAGCAUCCUAUAGACCAGAAUCUCAGUCCUUUCCUCCUCCGUCUUAUGUGGAUCGACCACUGGAUUCACCUGCCAACCUCAGUCAGGGUCUAUAUCGUGGUAGGGAAGAUCAAGCCCCAACAUUGGAUUACCACAGGGGCACACAGGAAGAGUUGAAGCCUCCAUCAAAACCAUUGAUUGCCCCUACCAGUGAGCCUGUUUGGGGUCAAUCUAGCCCUAAACCUGGGAUUCACUUCACGCCAGAGCUUAUAGCCACUCUGGUAAACUUGCUCCCGGCAACUUCUCAACCUGUUGCCCCCGACACUCACCAACCUAUGUCGAGCACUUCAACCCUCGUUUCUACAACACCUCAAUCCAUUGGACUGGCAAAUGUAGGAACUCCAUUGCAGGAUCAACAGACAAUCACUGAACCCACGAGUCAAUUCUUCCAACUAUUUGGGAAUCAGUACAAUCCAACUGCUCAACUACCCCCUCCUCCACCUCCUGUGACAACCACACCCAGAUACUCGGGCGGAAUGAUUCAUGGUGGCAUGCAAUUCCAAGCCCCUCCUGUAAGCAUGCCUCAGCAGACUCUGUUACCGAGUCUGCCCGCAAAUUAUUAUCCGAUGUAUCCUCAGAAUUCACAUUAUGCCGUUUCUCAGCCCACCACACAACAAUAUCAGCCGGAAGCUCCCAUGCCUAACCAAAACUGUGGAGCAGUUCCUGGAGCUGGAACUCCUGAAUUGCACGGGUAUCCGGCUUAUCAGCAAGCUAGCUAUCCUGGUGUAACAACUAGUCAGGCACAUACUGCUAAUUCUUCCCACCUUCAAGCUGCCAUACCAUCAUCAGCCAAUAAGGCAAACGUAGAGCUUCCAGGCCAGGAACAGCAGCUCCGGCCUGUGCUUCCUGGAACUGAUGAUAAGGUUGCAGCCGAUGGAGAUGCCGAUAAAAAUCAGCGAUAUCAAUCAACGUUACAGUUUGCGGCCAAUCUUCUUCUCCAGAUACAGCAGAAGCAGCAGCAGUAAAGGCAAUCAGAUGCUCCGUCUGGACAAUGGACUUGAGACUAAGCUUCAGUUGUCCUCGUAGGUUUGGUAGUUUGGAACAAGUACCUUCGCUUCUAUACGACCAGUCCAAAGGCGACAUAUGACUUAACACAACGGAACGGGAAUGGCCUCACUCUUCACCUUCGAUUGAUUUUUUUUUUUUUUUGGAUUUUUUGUGUUCUUGUGGCAUUGUAGUUUGUACAGAUGAUGUCCACUGGACCCUUUGGUGUAAUGGAAAAGUCUUCUCUCUCUCUCUUUUUUUUUUA